Molecule: ribosomal RNA, 229 nt
Filed under: uncultured bacterium
Lineage: Bacteria
Description: partial 16S ribosomal RNA
Rfam family: Bacterial small subunit ribosomal RNA
Source: RNAcentral
GACGAACCGUGCGAACGUUAUUCGGAAUCACUGGGCUUAAAGCGCGUGUAGGCGGAUGGGAACGUCGGUAGUUGAAAGCCCCCGGCUCAACCGGGGAAGUGGUGCCGAAACGACCCGUCUGGAGGGACGUAGGGGGACCUGGAACUUCCGGUGGAGCGGUGAAAUGCGUUGAGAUCGGAAGGAACGCCCGUGGCGAAAGCGACCACCUGGACUGAUACUGACACUGGAG